RNAcentral lists this ribosomal RNA (465 nucleotides) under Vreelandella stevensii. RNAcentral's name for it is "partial 16S ribosomal RNA". It matches the Rfam family "Bacterial small subunit ribosomal RNA", at positions 338 to 795 of the family's 1533-position model. The record is from RNAcentral. Lineage: Bacteria; Pseudomonadati; Pseudomonadota; Gammaproteobacteria; Oceanospirillales; Halomonadaceae.
CCUACGGGAGGCUGCAGUGGGGAAUAUUGGACAAUGGGGGGAACCCUGAUCCAGCCAUGCCGCGUGUGUGAAGAAGGCCCUCGGGUUGUAAAGCACUUUCAGUGAGGAAGAACGCCUGGUGGUUAAUACCCAUCAGGAAAGACAUCACUCACAGAAGAAGCACCGGCUAACUCCGUGCCAGCAGCCGCGGUAAUACGGAGGGUGCGAGCGUUAAUCGGAAUUACUGGGCGUAAAGCGCGCGUAGGUGGCUUGAUAAGCCGGUUGUGAAAGCCCCGGGCUCAACCUGGGAACGGCAUCCGGAACUGUCAAGCUAGAGUGCAGGAGAGGAAGGUAGAAUUCCCGGUGUAGCGGUGAAAUGCGUAGAGAUCGGGAGGAAUACCAGUGGCGAAGGCGGCAUUCUGGACUGACACUGACACUGAGGUGCGAAAGCGUGGGUAGCAAACAGGAUUAGAUACCCGAGUAGUC